GACGAACGCUGGCGGCGUGCUUAACACAUGCAAGUCGAACGGUAAGGCCCCUUCGGGGGUACACGAGUGGCGAACGGGUGAGUAACACGUGGGUGAUCUGCCCUGCACUUCGGGAUAAGCCUGGGAAACUGGGUCUAAUACCGGAUAGGACCACGCUCUGCAUGGAGUGUGGUGGAAAGCUUUUGCGGUGUGGGAUGGGCCCGCGGCCUAUCAGCUUGUUGGUGGGGUGAUGGCCUACCAAGGCGACGACGGGUAGCCGGCCUGAGAGGGUGUCCGGCCAUACUGGGACUGAGAUACGGCCCAGACUCCUACGGGAGGCAGCAGUGGGGAAUAUUGCACAAUGGGCGCAAGCCUGAUGCAGCGACGCCGCGUGGGGGAUGACGGCCUUCGGGUUGUAAACCUCUUUCAGUACCGACGAAGCGCAAGUGACGGUAGGUACAGAAGAAGCACCGGCCAACUACGUG
This 464-nucleotide ribosomal RNA is filed under the name uncultured bacterium. RNAcentral's name for it is "partial 16S ribosomal RNA". It matches the Rfam family "Bacterial small subunit ribosomal RNA", at positions 28 to 507 of the family's 1533-position model. The record is from RNAcentral.